AUGGCGGCCAGGUCGCCUGCUCGGGCCUCCCAGGCGACUUUGCCCCACUGCGCCCGCGCUCUCUUCUCCUUUCCAUUUCUGGACCAAGGGGCUGCCAUAAGGAGUCUGUGACUAGAGAUGGGAGGUGGUGGCCACGGCCUCUCGCUGUAUGCUGUGUGGAAGGUCGAAUCAUCAUCAUCAUAAAACUUAAUAUUGCCCUUAUGUGCCAGGAACUACUAUCUCAGCAAUGGAGAUGUGGUGCUUGGCCGCAAUCGUGAAUCGGCCCUGGAGGGGACACAGGAAGGGGCUGCCUGCGACUCAUGACCUCCUGCGUGCCUGCCUGCUGACCUAUGACCCUUCAAGUUCCCACCCCUCAGCCACGCCUGUGAGGAGGGUCUUGUUUUGUCACCUACGCUGGAGUGCAGUGGUGUGAUCACAGCUCACUGCAGCCUCAACUUCCUGGACUCAAGCGAUUUUCCUGCCUCAACCUCCCAAGAACUAGGACCCCAGAUCCCCAUGGACAAGGCACUUGCAUGAAUUGUGAGGCUCAUGGAGUUGGGGUCGGACAACACAGAGCCGGCUCCCUCCAGGAGCUGCAUGUCCAGAGAGGGAAACAGGAUGUGGACAGCAAGAAUGAAUACAUGCAGACCA
Molecule: non-coding RNA, 630 nt
Filed under: Pan troglodytes (chimpanzee)
Lineage: Eukaryota; Metazoa; Chordata; Mammalia; Primates; Hominidae
Source: RNAcentral